AGGCCUUUAAUAAUCUCUCAUAAGGGUGCAUUGGGAACUUAAACAAAAAAAAUAAAAAAAGAAAAAAAAUCCACAAACUAGAGACCUACUUUGUUGGAGCACUCUGAGUUGUGCAAAUUUUGAUCUAGAGAAUUCUAAAUUGAGCAAGUUAUAUCAAUAGAAUUGAGUGGAUAAAGUAUGGAGCGCCAAAAUUUGAAUGGAGUGGAAUUAAUGAAGGCAAGAGGCAUGGGAGCGCAAUGUAUAGUAUGUAGUAGACAAAAAAAUCAAAGAAUGGGUGAUUUAGUUGGAGACAUGUAUACUACUUAGAAAGUUUGUGCUCAAGGAAAAAGUGGAGAUUACAGGAUAGGAUAGAAAUUUUUAUCUAGAAGAUCAAAUUGUGAUCUAGAUUUAUAAGGUAUAGGUGAGUAGAAAGAAGAAGUGAAAAUUUUAUAAGAGUUAGAGCUAAUUAAAAUAGAGGCGAUGGCGAUGUGAUGUUGGGUUGGUGUUGACAGAUUUAAGCUAAAUAAUUAUUUCAAAGGAGGAGGCAAAGUGAAGGCAUUCCUAUUGAAGGAAAUCAAAGUAGUAGUAUUGCGAGGAUGUAGAGACAAUCUAAAAGAGAUGGUCUGAUAGUGAUGAAGAUAGGACAUGGCUUGGGAGUUUACAACCAUAGUAAAUUGGCUGUGAUUUGCUAUGUUGUUGCGAGAUGACAGUUGAUUUCCAAUGAUUUUUAGACAACAAGUUCAAACGAGUUCUUAUACAUAUUUUUUAGUGUGAUAAUAAGCAAUUAUGGUAUUGUAAUCAAUGUUUUAGUAUGGUC
RNAcentral lists this long non-coding RNA (796 nucleotides) under Physcomitrium patens. RNAcentral's name for it is "long non-coding RNA (PPAT_LNC000119)". Lineage: Eukaryota; Viridiplantae; Streptophyta; Bryopsida; Funariales; Funariaceae. The record is from RNAcentral.